GAUGAACGCUGGCGGCGUGCCUAAUACAUGCAAGUCGAGCGAACAGACGAGGAGCUUGCUCCUCUGACGUUAGCGGCGGACGGGUGAGUAACACGUGGAUAACCUACCUAUAAGACUGGGAUAACUUCGGGAAACCGGAGCUAAUACCGGAUAAUAUAUUGAACCGCAUGGUUCAAUAGUGAAAGACGGUUUUGCUGUCACUUAUAGAUGGAUCCGCGCCGCAUUAGCUAGUUGGUAAGGUAACGGCUUACCAAGGCAACGAUGCGUAGCCGACCUGAGAGGAUGAUCGGCCACACUGGAACUGAGACACGGUCCAGACUCCUACGGGAGGCAGCAGUAGGGAAUCUUCCGCAAUGGGCGAAAGCCUGACGGAGCAACGCCGCGUGAAUGAUGAAGGUCUUCGGAUCGUAAAACUCUGUUAUUAGGGAAGAACAAAUGUGUAAGUAACUAUGCACGUCUUGACGGUACCUAAUCAGAAAGCCACGGCUAACUACGUG
This 497-nucleotide ribosomal RNA is filed under the name uncultured bacterium. RNAcentral describes it as "partial 16S ribosomal RNA". It matches the Rfam family "Bacterial small subunit ribosomal RNA", at positions 28 to 507 of the family's 1533-position model. The record is from RNAcentral.